This is a long non-coding RNA of Branchiostoma floridae (Florida lancelet), 788 nucleotides long. RefSeq lists it as uncharacterized. The record is from RefSeq and is a predicted model, not a curated record. Lineage: Eukaryota; Metazoa; Chordata; Leptocardii; Amphioxiformes; Branchiostomatidae. The transcript is spliced from 2 exons.
AAAUAUUUGUUGCCAGCUUCCGGCCCUUGCCACACGGCACAUUCAGUGGUGGCAAGGGGGAUGGGGAAUGACAAAGGUUCCCGCUCCGGCUCUUGCCAAAGGACAAGAGGGAGCCUGGUGGAGGCUCAGUGAUUGGGAGCCAUGUGGAUUUAUGAAUCAUUUUUGUUAAUAUUAAUUCAUCCUUUGGACUUGUUUUUAGAAUUUGUGUAGAUGUUAUACCAAAUGUCACUCGUUUGACUUCUAUAUGAUUGCUUAAAUUUCAUUCAUGUCAAUCCUUUUUGAUCCUGUCAGUUGUACCUUUUCAUUUGCAAGUACAAGUUGUGUAUAUGUAUUUAUUAUACCUCUGUUGCAAUAUUCCUUUAUCAUUCAAAAGCAUUGUGCAUUAACAUUUUGAAGUGUCCACAAAUGUGUAAAACAAAGAUUGACAUGUCUCUGUUGUUUUUUUUCAGCAGUGAGAACAUUGUGCUCAUGACACACAGCAGAAGAGAAGCAGAGCUUGGUCUAUGACUGUAUGUGGAAGAAGCAGACUGACUUGAUUCCAACCAGCCAGAAAAGGACACGUAGAUAUUGAUCGCAACCAAUUCUGAAAAGAUUUAUAUAUUUUGACGGAAUUGUAAUUUUUCUGCAAAUAAGAUCUAUUAUGUAGUUUGCUAUUUUCCCAGAUUAACUUUAAACAAUGUAAAAACUUAAGCUCAAAUUACAUUGUAUUUACAUUAAGUCAAUCAGAUUGUGAGAGCAGACAAGUGUAAAAUUGCAAUUUUGUGAAAGUAAAACUGUAAAAAUUGAAA